GACGAACGCUGGCGGCGUGCUUAACACAUGCAAGUCGAACGGAAAGGCCUCUUUCGGGGGGUACUCGAGUGGCGAACGGGUGAGUAACACGUGAGUAACCUGCCCUUGACUUUGGGGUAACUUCAGGAAACUGGGGCUAAUACCGGAUAGGAGCUCCUGCUGCAUGGUGGGGGUUGGAAAGUUUCGGCGGUUGGGGAUGGACUCGCGGCUUAUCAGCUUGUUGGUGGGGUAGUGGCUUACCAAGGCUUUGACGGGUAGCCGACCUGAGAGGGUGACCGGCCACAUUGGGACUGAGAUACGGCCCAGACUCCUACGGGAGGCAGCAGUGGGGAAUAUUGCACAAUGGGUGGAAGCCUGAUGCAGCAACGCCGUGUGCGGGAGGACGGCCUUCGGGUUGUAAACCGCUUUCGCUCAUGACGAAGCUUUGUGUGACGGUAGUGGGUAAAGAAGCACCGGCUAACUACGUG
This 467-nucleotide ribosomal RNA is filed under the name uncultured bacterium. RNAcentral describes it as "partial 16S ribosomal RNA". It matches the Rfam family "Bacterial small subunit ribosomal RNA", at positions 28 to 507 of the family's 1533-position model. The record is from RNAcentral.